RNAcentral lists this ribosomal RNA (492 nucleotides) under uncultured bacterium. RNAcentral describes it as "partial 16S ribosomal RNA". It matches the Rfam family "Bacterial small subunit ribosomal RNA", at positions 29 to 507 of the family's 1533-position model. The record is from RNAcentral.
AGUGAACGCUGGCGGUAGGCCUAACACAUGCAAGUCGAACGGCAGCACAGUAAGAGCUUGCUCUUACGGGUGGCGAGUGGCGGACGGGUGAGGAAUACAUCGGAAUCUACUUUUUCGUGGGGGAUAACGUAGGGAAACUUACGCUAAUACCGCAUACGACCUACGGGUGAAAGCAGGGGAUCUUCGGACCUUGCGCGAUUGAAUGAGCCGAUGUCGGAUUAGCUAGUUGGCGGGGUAAAGGCCCACCAAGGCGACGAUCCGUAGCUGGUCUGAGAGGAUGAUCAGCCACACUGGAACUGGGACACGGUCCAGACUCCUACGGGAGGCAGCAGUGGGGAAUAUUGGACAAUGGGCGCAAGCCUGAUCCAGCCAUACCGCGUGGGUGAAGAAGGCCUUCGGGUUUUAAAGCCCUUUUGUUGGGAAAGAAAAGCAGCAGGUUAAUACCCCGCUGUUCUGACGGUACCCAAAGAAUAAGCACCGGCUAACUUCGUG